GACGAACGCUGGCGGCGUGCUUAACACAUGCAAGUCGAGCGGAGCGGCGAACGGGUGAGUAACGCGUGAAUAAAUGCCCCCCUCUCUGGGAUAACAGUUGGAAACGGCUGAUAAUACCGGAUAGUGGGGGAUGACUCGCGUCCUAUCGGCUUGUUGGUGGGGUAGUGGCCUGUCAAGGCGACGACGGGUAGCCGGCCUGGGAGGGCCGCCGGCCACAUUGGGCUGAGGUACGGCCCAGACUCCUACGGUGGGCAGCAGUGGGGAAUAUUGCACAAUCGGGGAAACCCUGAUGCAGCAACGCCGCGUUCGGGAUGACGGCCUUCGGGUUGUAAACCGCUUUCAGCCAUGACGCGGUAGUGGCAGAAGAAGCACCGGCUAACUACGUGCCAGCAGCCGCGGUAAUUC
This 405-nucleotide ribosomal RNA is filed under the name uncultured bacterium. RNAcentral's name for it is "partial 16S ribosomal RNA". It matches the Rfam family "Bacterial small subunit ribosomal RNA", at positions 28 to 526 of the family's 1533-position model. The record is from RNAcentral.